GUGAGGAAUUUUGCGCAAUGGGGGCAACCCUGACGCAGCGACGCCGCGUGGAGGACGAAGUCUUUCGGGAUGUAAACUCCUGUCAGUGGGGACGAUAAUGACGGUACCCACAGAGGAAGCACCGGCUAACUCCGUGCCAGCAGCCGCGGUAAGACGGAGGGUGCAAGCGUUGUUCGGAAUUACUGGGCGUAAAGCGUAUGUAGGCGGCAAGUUAAGUUCAAUGUUAAAGCCCACGGCUCAACCGAGGAGAUGCAUUGAAUACUGGCUAGCUAGAGGGUGUUAGAGGAAGACUGAAUUCCCAGUGUAGCGGUGAAAUGCGUAGAUAUUGGGAGGAACAUCGGUAGCGAAAGCGGUCUUCUGGGACAUACCUGACGCUGAGGUACGAAAGCGUGGGGAGCAAACGGGAUUAGAUACCCCGGUAGUCC
Molecule: ribosomal RNA, 425 nt
Filed under: uncultured bacterium
Lineage: Bacteria
Description: partial 16S ribosomal RNA
Rfam family: Bacterial small subunit ribosomal RNA
Source: RNAcentral